RNAcentral lists this ribosomal RNA (177 nucleotides) under Micromonospora matsumotoense. RNAcentral's name for it is "16S rRNA. Bacterial SSU". It matches the Rfam family "Bacterial small subunit ribosomal RNA", at positions 1 to 178 of the family's 1533-position model. Lineage: Bacteria; Bacillati; Actinomycetota; Actinomycetes; Micromonosporales; Micromonosporaceae. The record is from RNAcentral.
UUUUGUUGGAGAGUUUGAUCCUGGCUCAGGACGAACGCUGGCGGCGUGCUUAACACAUGCAAGUCGAGCGGAAAGGCCCUUCGGGGUACUCGAGCGGCGAACGGGUGAGUAACACGUGAGCAACCUGCCCUAGGCUUUGGGAUAACCCUCGGAAACGGGGGCUAAUACCGAAUAUUA